This is a long non-coding RNA of Symphalangus syndactylus (siamang), 3010 nucleotides long. RefSeq lists it as uncharacterized. Lineage: Eukaryota; Metazoa; Chordata; Mammalia; Primates; Hylobatidae. The record is from RefSeq and is a predicted model, not a curated record.
AGUUAGGAACGUGGUGUCCCCACUUCGUUGUUGGGGUGUCCGAAGCUUUUUUUUUUUUUAAUGUGAUCCCGCCCCUCCCCCGCGCUCUGUGACGCACCAGAGACGUCGACGUAAACUGGGUUUCCUGGACGCACGCCAGUGAUUGACUUGGAAUGAGGAGAGGGGCGGGGCCUUAGCAGUUGCCCUGAGCCAGGUCUGGUAGGAAGGGCGAGGGGGGCCAGGGUGAGGGGCGGGCAAGAUAUUUCCAGUCUGCAGCACCCACAAGUUGGACUGGGGAACUACCGCAGACCUUGAAGGCAGAUUUACUGGAUUGGACCCCCAACUCCAACACAGUCCUCCUAUGGCCUUAGGCAAGCCAAGUAGCAUGAAUCUCAUCAGCACAGAGAGAAAGCUUCACUGAAAACUCGUUACAGGCCAGGUGUUGUGCUGAUUUACUUCAAGAAAAAUACCACAUCUGAACAGCAGAUACAAUUAAAGUCACCAACUAUUUAUAGCCAGUCUCCAAGAUCCAUCUCCCUUCUCCAAAGACCAAACAGUGUCACAGAUACGUAGCCGGUCUGUUCUCCGGGUCCCUGCUACGCUGAAGCCAAUCCUCAGGAGCCAUCAGCUUGGUGCACUUCAGCUCAGAGAGCAGUUGUUGAGAUGAACCAGCCACAGAAGCCAGGGUUUGCCCUGUGUUUAUUUACAGAAGGACACACCCGCCAAGAGCUGCUCUGAGGGGACUAUGGCUGCAAGAGAGGGCCCUGCCCAUUUACCAGCAACAACUAUGAGCCACUUUGAGACUUAGAGUAUACAUAUCAUCAGGGAAAGAUGACAUUGAUGGAAAACCUUUGCUACAGCAGUGGAAACGCACACACUCCCCUUUCGUCCUUCUGGUUAAAGAUAGAAAGCUGGGUAUUCAAUGUACUCAGGUAUUCAGUAUAUGAAAUAUCUGAACUCCUUUCCUUCCCUGUGUUCUGUCUCUUUUGCAUUCUGAGUUUUCCAGAGCAAAUAACUCAGAAGAGGAUUGGAUCAGGGAAAAAGGAGAGCCCAACUUGGUUACCUUGGUUGGCUUGUAUACCUAGAAUGCCUGCACUGUUUGCCAUCUAUCUACCCUCCAAGCCUCAUCUUCAACAAAAGCCUUCUACCUCCCACCCCCAAGCUGCUGGACCACUCACUGUUUCCCACCUCUCAUUUGCACUCCUCACAGACUAUCUUAGAUUGCCAUACACAUCUGCAGCCACAUCCUUAUGCCCCUGACAAGAGGAGCCACAGCUUAUACUUCUUGAGAUUCCUGACAAUGCCAGGCAUUGUCCCAUGUAAGUUCUUAAAGGAAAUGUGUUUGAUUGCUUUUGUUACUUGUUAAUGACUCCCUGUAUACUUUGGCAGGGAAAUGAAAUUGGCACAAAUAGCUCAAGUGGGGUUUUGCACCAACUAUGGGUUUCAUUUAUCCACAGGAUUGCAAUAGAAGAAAUUUAGAUUCAAUACAAAGAAGAAAUUCUCAAUCACAGGGGUCUAGAGAGGGGAUGGAUGGCAUUAUCAAAAGAGGUUAGAGAGAAGGGGUAGAGAGGGGAAUGUGGGAAAACAAAGAAAAAUUGCAGGGGUGGGGAAAGUGAGUGGGGGAGGGCACAACCUUAGAGAGAUAGUACACAUUCUAGGGCCUGAGGAUAUUUUAGAAGAGUCUCUGAUUUAUAGAAAGCACUGACUCAGGUGCAGUACAAACUUGGUUUUUCAGCAGGAAAAAUGUAUUAGAUAAAGUUGACAUGUCCAGCAGCUCUGGGAGUCUGGACCUUUAUUCAAACCCACUCACUUGUAUUGAGCAGCUACUUUUGCAAAGUUCUGGGCUAGAAACUAGGGGACACACAGAGGGCUAAGACAGGAUCCCUGUCAUCCAAGUGCUUAUGAUGUAGUAUUCAUUUAUUCUUUGUUUCUUUCAGGCAUUUAUUAAAUGUCUAUUAUGUAGUAGUGAAAGGGCUACAAAGAUUAAAAUACAGCUCUCUCUCUCUCUCUUUGAUAUGGUUUGGAUGUGUGUCCCUACCCAAAUCUCAUGUUGAAAUGCAAUCCCCAAUGUUGGAGGUGGGGCCUGGUGGGAGGUGAUUGGAUCACAGGGGUGGUUUCUCAUGGUUUAACACCACCCCCAUUGGUGCUGCCAUCGCAAUAGUGAGUUCUCAUGAGAUCUGGUUCUUUAAAAGUGUGUGGCACCUCCCCCCAACCCCUCUCAGUCCAGCUCCUGCCAUGUAAGAAGCCUGAUUCUGCUUUGCUUUCCACCAGGAGUAAAAGCUCCCUGAGGCCUCCCCAGGAAUAGAUGCUGCCACACUUCCUGUACAGCCUGCAGAACCAUAAGCCAAUUAAACCUCUUCUCUUUAUAAAUUACCCAGUCUCAGGUAUUUCUUUAUAGCACUGUGAGAACAGACUAAUUCUUUCUCUGUCUCUCUCUCUCUCACACACACAGUCAUUCAAAAAAGUCUAAAAGAACAACAAAAAGCCACCCUUAAUCCUGUCACCAAAGGCCACUGUUAGCAUGCUAGCAUGUUUCCAAGCAGUUUUUUCAAGUAAGUACAUUUCUAAAUAGUUGAGAUAUAGCAUAUAUACCCUAUUGUAUACUGCUUUUUAAAAAUAAAAGAAUUUGGCCAAAUGCAGUGGCCAAGGCAGGCAGAUCACUUGAACCCAGGAGUUCAAGACCAGCUUGGGCAACACAGCAAAACCCCAUCUCUACAGACAACAACAACAACAACAAAACCUCAAAAAUUAGCUUGGUGUGGUGGCGUGCGCCUGUAAUCCCAGGUACUCUGAGGCGGGAAGAUCUCUUGAGCCUGGGAGGUGGAGGCUGCAGUGAGCUGAGAUUGUGCUACUGCAUUCUAGCUUGGGUGGCAGAGUGAGACCCUGUCUCAAAAAUAAAAUAAAAGAAUUUUCCUUUGUGAAUCAACCUCAAUACUUACUAAUAGCUGUAUAAUGUUCUACCAUGUGGGUGUACUGUAGUUUAUUUACCCAUUCUCCCAGCAUUGGAUUUGGAUUAGCUCUCAGUUAUAAC